This 253-nucleotide ribosomal RNA is filed under the name uncultured bacterium. RNAcentral describes it as "partial 16S ribosomal RNA". It matches the Rfam family "Bacterial small subunit ribosomal RNA", at positions 524 to 776 of the family's 1533-position model. The record is from RNAcentral.
UACGUAGGAUGCAAGCGUUGUCCGGAAUUAUUGGGCGUAAAGAGCGCGCAGGCGGUUUGACAAGUCAGAUGUGAAAGAGGCCGGCUUAACCGGCAAGGGUCAUUUGAAACUGUCAGACUAGAGUGCAGCAGAGGAUAGUGGAAUUCCCGGUGUAGUGGUGAAAUGCGUAGAUAUCGGGAGGAACACCAGUGGCGAAGGCGACUAUCUGGGCUGCAACUGACGCUGAGGCGCGAAGGCUAGGGUAGCAAACAGG